CCUACGGUGGGCAGCAGUAGGGAAUCUUGCGCAAUGGGCGAAAGCCUGACGCAGCAACGCCGCGUGAACGAGACGCCCUUCGGGGUGUAAAGUUCUGUCAGUGGGGACGAAAAAUGACGGUACCCACAGAGGAAGCACCGGCUAACUCCGUGCCAGCAGACGGGGUCAUACGGAGGGUGCAAGCGUUGUCCGGAAUCAGUGGGCGUAAAGGGUUGGUAGGCGGCAUGUAAAGUCAGGUGUUAAAGGCGCAGGCUCAACCUGUGGAUGGCACUGGAUACUUGCAAGCUGGAAUGCGGUAGAGGUAAAGGGAAUUCCUGGUGUAGCGGUGAAAUGCUUAGAUAUGAGGAGGAACAUCGGUGGCGUAAGCGCUUUACUGGGCCGUAAUUGACGCUGAGGAACGAAAGCCAGGGUAGCAAAUGGGAUUAGAUACCCUUGUAGUC
This 440-nucleotide ribosomal RNA is filed under the name uncultured bacterium. RNAcentral's name for it is "partial 16S ribosomal RNA". It matches the Rfam family "Bacterial small subunit ribosomal RNA", at positions 338 to 795 of the family's 1533-position model. The record is from RNAcentral.